UGGGAUAUUAGUGGACGUCCACCAACCCACCAACCUCUGACUCUGAAGUUUGAGGUGGGACCAAACGUUUUUCUAACUUAAUUUGAUCUUGGCCGUGCAAUUAAACGGAUUGCGACCCCACUGCUUUGUACAAUAUUUGCCUCAAGUUCCAUGCAUGUACUAAGAUCCAGAGUCGCUCUCAGCGUUGGUGCAACAAUUCCUG
RNAcentral lists this long non-coding RNA (202 nucleotides) under Elaeis guineensis (African oil palm). RNAcentral's name for it is "long non-coding RNA (EGUI_LNC049720)". The record is from RNAcentral. Lineage: Eukaryota; Viridiplantae; Streptophyta; Magnoliopsida; Arecales; Arecaceae.